RNAcentral lists this ribosomal RNA (497 nucleotides) under uncultured bacterium. RNAcentral's name for it is "partial 16S ribosomal RNA". It matches the Rfam family "Bacterial small subunit ribosomal RNA", at positions 28 to 507 of the family's 1533-position model. The record is from RNAcentral.
GAUGAACGCUGGCGGCGUGCCUAAUACAUGCAAGUCGAGCGAACGGACGAGAAGCUUGCUUCUCUGAUGUUAGCGGCGGACGGGUGAGUAACACGUGGAUAACCCACCUAUAAGACUGGGAUAACUUCGGGAAACCGGAGCUAGUACCGGAUAAUAUUUUGAACCGCAUGGUUCAAAAGUGAAAGACGGUCUUGCUGUCACUUAUAGAUGGAUCCGCGCUGCAUUAGCUAGUUGGUAAGGUAACGGCUUACCAAGGCAACGAUGCAUAGCCGACCUGAGAGGGUGAUCGGCCUCACUGGAACUGAGACACGGUCCAGACUCCUACGGGAGGCAGCAGUAGGGAAUCUUCCGCAAUGGGCGAAAGCCUGACGGAGCAACGCCGCGUGAGUGAUGAAGGUCUUCGGAUCGUAAAACUCUGUUAUUAGGGAAGAACAUAUGUGUAAGUAACUGUGCACAUCUUGACGGUACCUAAUCAGAAAGCCACGGCUAACUACGUG